UCGAGGGGCAGCAUGAGGAGUCAGCAAUGACACCUUGAUGGCGACCGGCGGAAGGGUGCGUAACGCGUGAGCAACCUGCCCGUCACAGGGGGAUAACCGGUGGAAACGCCGACUAAUAUCCCAUGGUUUCCUUUGGGGGCAUCCCCGAGGGAUUAAAGGCUUCGGCCGGUGACGGAUGGGCUCGCGUGACAUUAGGCAGUAGGCGGGGUAACGGCCCACCUAACCUACGAUGUCUAGGGGUUCUGAGAGGAAGGUCCCCACACUGGAACUGAGACACGGUCCAGACUCC
This 289-nucleotide ribosomal RNA is filed under the name uncultured bacterium. RNAcentral describes it as "partial 16S ribosomal RNA". It matches the Rfam family "Bacterial small subunit ribosomal RNA", at positions 62 to 339 of the family's 1533-position model. The record is from RNAcentral. RNAcentral also lists the same sequence under 1 other name.